CCGAGUUAUUCAACUCAUCAACCCUGUGAACUUACCUAUACGUUGCUUCGGCGGGAAUAGACGGCCCCGUAGAACGGGCCGCCCCCGCCAGAGGACCCUUAACUCUGUUUCUUUUAGUGUAUCUUCUGAGUAAAACAAGCAAAUAAAUUAAAACUUUCAACAACGGAUCUCUUGGCUCUGGCAUCGAUGAAGAACGCAGCGAAAUGCGAUAAGUAAUGUGAAUUGCAGAAUUCAGUGAAUCAUCGAAUCUUUGAACGCACAUUGCGCCCGCCAGUAUUCUGGCGGGCAUGCCUGUUCGAGCGUCAUUACAACCCUCAGGCCCCCGGGCCUGGCGUUGGGGAUCGGCGGAGCCCCCCGUGGGCACACGCCGUCCCCCAAAUACAGUGGCGGUCCCGCCGCAGCUUCCAUCGCGUAGUAGCUAACACCUCGCGACUGGAGAGCGGCGCGGCCACGCCGUAAAACACCCAACUCUUCUGAAAACAGGGAUUGCCCCAGUAACGGCGAGUGAAGCGGCAACAGCUCAAAUUUGAAAUCUGGCUCUCGGGCCCGAGUUGUAAUUUGUAGAGGAUGCUUUUGGUGAGGUGCCUUCCGAGUUCCCUGGAAUGGGACGCCAUAGAGGGUGAGAGCCCCGUCUGGUUGGACGCCGAACCUCUGUAAAGCUCCUUCGACGAGUCGAGUAGUUUGGGAAUGCUGCUCUAAAUGGGAGGUAUAUGUCUUCUAAAGCUAAAUACCGGCCAGAGACCGAUAGCGCACAAGUAGAGUGAUCGAAAGAUGAAAAGAACUUUGAAAAGAGAGUUAAACAGUACGUGAAAUUGUUGAAAGGGAAGCGCUUGUGACCAGACUUGGGCUUGGUUGAUCAUCCGGGGUUCUCCCCGGUGCACUCUUCCGGCCCAGGCCAGCAUCAGUUCGCCCUGGGGGACAAAGGCAUCGGGAACGUGGCUCUCUCCGGGGAGUGUUAU
The sequence is a ribosomal RNA, 959 nucleotides long. The stretch from base 422 to 959 matches the Rfam family "Eukaryotic large subunit ribosomal RNA", at positions 1 to 559 of the family's 3401-position model.